RNAcentral lists this ribosomal RNA (200 nucleotides) under uncultured bacterium. RNAcentral's name for it is "partial 16S ribosomal RNA". It matches the Rfam family "Bacterial small subunit ribosomal RNA", at positions 1300 to 1500 of the family's 1533-position model. The record is from RNAcentral.
GCAGGCUGCAACUCGCCUGCAUGAAGUCGGAAUUGCUAGUAAUCGCAGAUCAGCAUGCUGCGGUGAAUACGUUCCCGGGCCUUGUACACACCGCCCGUCACACCAUGGGAGUCGGUAACACCCGAAGUCGGUAGCCUAACCGUAAGGAGGGCGCCGCCAAGGUGGGAUUGAUGACUGGGGUGAAGUCGUAACAAGGUAAC